AAUAAACGCUGGCGGCGUGCUUUACACAUGCAAGUCGAGCGAGGCGUACGGGGCUUGCUCCGUACAGUCGAGCGGCGAACGGGUGAGUAACGCGUGGAUAUCUACCCUGAGGUGGGGGAUAACCCGGGGAAACUCGGGCUAAUACCGCAUGAUAUCCCGCUUUGCGGGAUCAAAGAGGGCUUCGGCUUUCGCCAUGGGAUGAGUCUGCGUCCGAUUAGCUAGUUGGUGAGGUAAUGGCUCACCAAGGCGACGAUCGGUAGCCGGCCUGAGAGGGUGAUCGGCCACACUGGAACUGAGACACGGUCCAGACUCCUACGGGAGGCAGCAGUGGGGAAUUUUGCGCAAUGGGGGAAACCCUGACGCAGCAACGCCGCGUGGAGGAUGAAGGUUUUCGGAUUGUAAACUCCUGUCAGUGGGGAAAAAGCGAGCUGGCCUAAUACGUCAGUGAGUUGAUUGUACCUGCAGAGGAAGCCCCGGCUAACUCUGUG
This 488-nucleotide ribosomal RNA is filed under the name uncultured bacterium. RNAcentral's name for it is "bacterial SSU rRNA". It matches the Rfam family "Bacterial small subunit ribosomal RNA", at positions 29 to 507 of the family's 1533-position model. The record is from RNAcentral.